GGACGUGAAAGCAAUCUUGCUGUGAUGGCUGUCACCCCACUGAUUCCCAGGAUUGAUCUGGCUGAUCUGGCUGGCUGGGCAGGGUCCCUUCCUCCCUCACCACUCCACCUGUGUCCCUCUUGAAGCUACACUCUGAGUAGAAGAGGACAACCCACCCCAGUGACAGAAGGACAGUUUCCUUCUCAAGAGUACACAAGUAUCUCUGCUCCCACACUAGAACCAGCAAACAACUCUCAGGAAAUUGUCACGAUAACUGUGGGCAGGAAAGAGAAGAAGAUGCACCCUUCCUACAAGACAGCAGUA
This 303-nucleotide small nuclear RNA is filed under the name Cavia aperea (Brazilian guinea pig). RNAcentral's name for it is "7SK RNA (ENSCAPG00000004251.1)". It matches the Rfam family "7SK RNA". Rfam says of the family: 7SK was discovered as an abundant small nuclear RNA in the mid-70s but a possible function has only recently been suggested. Two independent studies have found that 7SK RNA binds the CDK9/cyclin T complex (known as elongation factor P-TEFb). Lineage: Eukaryota; Metazoa; Chordata; Mammalia; Rodentia; Caviidae. The record is from RNAcentral.